This 498-nucleotide ribosomal RNA is filed under the name uncultured bacterium. RNAcentral describes it as "partial 16S ribosomal RNA". It matches the Rfam family "Bacterial small subunit ribosomal RNA", at positions 30 to 523 of the family's 1533-position model. The record is from RNAcentral.
AUUGAACGCUGGCGGCAUGCCUUACACAUGCAAGUCGAACGGUAACAGGUCUUCGGAUGCUGACGAGUGGCGAACGGGUGAGUAAUACAUCGGAACGUGCCUAGUAGUGGGGGAUAACUACUCGAAAGAGUGGCUAAUACCGCAUGAGAUCUACGGAUGAAAGCAGGGGAUCGCAAGACCUUGUGCUACUAGAGCGGCCGAUGGCAGAUUAGGUAGUUGGUGGGAUAAAAGCUUACCAAGCCGACGAUCUGUAGCUGGUCUGAGAGGACGAUCAGCAACACUGGGACUGGGACGCGGCCAAGACUCCUACGGGGAGCAGCAGUGGGGAAUUUUGGACAAUGGGCGAAAGCCUGAUCCAGCAAUGCCGCGUGCAGGAUGAAGGCCUUCGGGUUGUAAACUGCUUUUGUACGGAACGAAAAGCCCCGGGUUAAUACCCUGGGGUCAUGACGGUACCGUAAGAAUAAGCACCGGCUAACUACGUGCCAGCAGCCGCCGCUG